This 497-nucleotide ribosomal RNA is filed under the name uncultured bacterium. Its description in RNAcentral is "bacterial SSU rRNA". It matches the Rfam family "Bacterial small subunit ribosomal RNA", at positions 28 to 486 of the family's 1533-position model. The record is from RNAcentral.
GACGAACGCUGGCGGCGUGCCUAAUACAUGCAAGUCGAACGCACUCUCGUUUAGAUUGAAGGAGCUUGCUCCUGAUUGAUAAACAUUUGAGUGAGUGGCGGACGGGUGAGUAACACGUGGGUAACCUGCCCUAAAGUGGGGGAUAACAUUUGGAAACAGAUGCUAAUACCGCAUAAAACCUAACACCGCAUGGUGUAGGGUUGAAAGAUGGUUUCGGCUAUCACUUUAGGAUGGACCCGCGGUGCAUUAGUUAGUUGGUGAGGUAAAGGCUCACCAAGACCGUGAUGCAUAGCCGACCUGAGAGGGUAAUCCGCCACACUGGGACUGAGACACGGCCCAGACUCCUACGGGAGGCAGCAGUAGGGAAUCUUCCACAAUGGACGAAAGUCUGAUGGAGCAACGCCGCGUGAGUGAAGAAGUUUCGGAUCGUAAAACUCUGUUGUUGGAGAAGAAUGUAUCUGAUAGUAACUGAUCAGGUAGUGACGGUAUCCAACCAG